This 93-nucleotide microRNA precursor is filed under the name Marmota monax (woodchuck). Lineage: Eukaryota; Metazoa; Chordata; Mammalia; Rodentia; Sciuridae. The record is from RNAcentral.
AUGGGAAUUGCUGGACGACAUGGUUUAGCUCUCUGAGCAAAUGCUAAACUGCUUUCCAAAGCAGCUACACCAUUCUAAAUUCCCAGCAGCCAU